GAGCGGACAGAUGGGAGCUUGCUCCCUGAUGUUAGCGGCGGACGGGUGAGUAACACGUGGGUAACCUGCCUGUAAGACUGGGAUAACUCCGGGAAACCGGGGCUAAUACCGGAUGGUUGUUUGAACCGCAUGGUUCAAACAUAAAAGGUGGCUUCGGCUACCACUUACAGAUGGACCCGCGGCGCAUUAGCUAGUUGGUGAGGUAACGGCUCACCAAGGCAACGAUGCGUAGCCGACCUGAGAGGGUGAUCGGCCACACUGGGACUGAGACACGGCCCAGACUCCUACGGGAGGCAGCAGUAGGGAAUCUUCCGCAAUGGACGAAAGUCUGACGGAGCAACGCCGCGUGAGUGAUGAAGGUUUUCGGAUCGUAAAGCUCUGUUGUUAGGGAAGAACAAGUACCGUUCGAAUAGGGCGGUACCUUGACGGUACCUAACCAGAAAGCCACGGCUAACUACGUGCCAGCAGCCGCGGUAAUACGUAGGUGGCAAGCGUUGUCCGGAAUUAUUGGGCGUAAAGGGCUCGCAGGCGGUUUCUUAAGUCUGAUGUGAAAGCCCCCGGCUCAACCGGGGAGGGUCAUUGGAAACUGGGGAACUUGAGUGCAGAAGAGGAGAGUGGAAUUCCACGUGUAGCGGUGAAAUGCGUAGAGAUGUGGAGGAACACCAGUGGCGAAGGCGACUCUCUGGUCUGUAACUGACGCUGAGGAGCGAAAGCGUGGGGAGCGAACAGG
RNAcentral lists this ribosomal RNA (730 nucleotides) under Bacillus sp. enrichment culture clone DWSRK103. Its description in RNAcentral is "bacterial SSU rRNA". It matches the Rfam family "Bacterial small subunit ribosomal RNA", at positions 64 to 776 of the family's 1533-position model. Lineage: Bacteria; Bacillati; Bacillota; Bacilli; Caryophanales; Bacillaceae. The record is from RNAcentral.